Potamilus streckersoni is the source of this 67-nucleotide non-coding RNA. The record is from the annotation of a GenBank genome assembly. Lineage: Eukaryota; Metazoa; Mollusca; Bivalvia; Unionida; Unionidae.
GUGGCCUAGUGUUUAGAGCGUCGGCCUUGGAUGCGGGAGGUCGUGGGUUCGAUUUCCGGUCGAUUCA